RNAcentral lists this ribosomal RNA (253 nucleotides) under uncultured bacterium. Its description in RNAcentral is "partial 16S ribosomal RNA". It matches the Rfam family "Bacterial small subunit ribosomal RNA", at positions 524 to 776 of the family's 1533-position model. The record is from RNAcentral.
UACGAAGGGGGCUAGCGUUGUUCGGAAUUACUGGGCGUAAAGCGUGCGCAGGCGGCUUCUCAAGUCAGGGGUGAAAGCCCAGAGCUCAACUCUGGAAUUGCCUUUGAGACUGAGUGGCUUGAGUACGAGAGAGGUGAGUGGAAUUCCCAGUGUAGAGGUGAAAUUCGUAGAUAUUGGGAAGAACACCGGUGGCGAAGGCGGCUCACUGGCUCGUAACUGACGCUCAUGCACGAAAGCGUGGGGAUCAAACAGG